CUCUACAUAAAAAAAAAUAAAAAAAUAAAAACAGAAUCUUCUGUAGGAGAUAUUUAUGUAAAGGUUAUAUUAGUAAAUAGUUAGCUGUAAACCCUCUCGUGUAUGUACUAUAAAUAUGUAAUCAUUCUCUCUAAUGCAAAUUAAGUUCCCUAAUCUAUAUGGUAUCAGAGCAGCGAUCCCAAGAAACCUAAAUUUUUCAGCCGCCAACUUUAUUUUUCAAAAUCUUCUUCGCCCAUUUUUUCGAUGGCUCAAUCUCCUCAAUCAACCAGCGAAACGAUCUCGAUCAACAACAAUGAUCAUCUCAUCAAUGUCAACAUGGAAAAUGUUACCAAACUCACCACAUCCAACUUUUUGAUGUGGAAUCGUCAGGUUCAUGCUCUUCUCGAAGGGUACGACCUCGCCGGCUACGUCGAUGGCACAACAGCUGUUCCACCUGCUACAACUACGGUCGCAGGUGCUGUCACACCAAAUCCUGAGUACACGGUGUGGAGAAGACAAGACAAACUCAUUUAUAGCGCACUCCUUGGUGCUAUUACAAUGACCAUCCAGCCGCUCCUAGCCACUGCCAAGACCUCGUCGGAGGUCUGGACCACUCUCAACACGAUCUAUGCCAACACAGGUCGAGGCCACAUGCAGCAAAUUCGCCACCAGAUCCGCGAAUGGUCGAAAGGAUCGAAGACGAUCCACGAAUACAUGCAGGGGUUCACUACUCGUUUCGAUCAGCUCGCCCUUCUUGGCAAACCCCUAGAUCUGGAGGAUCAGAUCGAUUAUAUCCUUCGUGGACUUCCGGAAGACUACAAGUCGGUCGCCGAUCAGAUUGAGGCCCGUGACAUGCCUCCAUCUCUCUUAGAGAUCCAUGAGAAACUCUUAAAUCAUGAAGUUAAGCUUCAAACAGUAGUGAAGACAGCCUCUUCAUCGCCGAUCACUGCGAAUGCGGCUCAGGUGCAAACCUCGUCCUACAACAACAAAUCUGGCAACAAUUACCGAGGCAAAAACAACAACCGCAAUCAACAGACUUGGCAACAACAGCAACAAUUCUCGCCUCGUCAGGAUCAGUUCUCACCUCGGGGCUAUCAGGGAAAGUGUCAACUUUGUGGCACCUAUGGACACAGUGCUCGCCGAUGCUCUCAGCUACAACAACAAGGCAGCUCGUACAGUGCAUCUCCACGACCGUUUCAGAGCAGUUCGGGGUCAUGGCAGCCUCGGGCUAAUUUGGCCGCAGCAUCCUCGUCUGGUGCUAAUAACUGGGUCCUCGAUAGUGGCGCCACUCACCACCUCACUACAGACUUGAACAAUCUCUCUCUGCAUCAUCUCUACAAUGGUGGUGAGGAAGUAACCAUAGCUGAUGGUUCUGGACUCCCGAUCUCGCACACUGGUUUUACUUCCUUACCUACACCCACUAAAUCUCUGCAACUAAAUGAUGUCCUUUAUGUUCCCAAUGUCCAUAAGAACCUUAUAUCUGUUUACAGAUUGUGUAAUACUAACCAGGUGUCUGUGGAAUUCUUUCCUGCUCAUUUUCAGGUGAAGGACUUGAGAACGGGGGCCCGAUUACUCCAAGGCAGAACUAACAAAGAGCUGUACGAGUGGCCACUUACAUCCCAAAAUACCAUACUCUUUGCCUCACCAUCACCAAAAACGACUCUAUCCUCUUGGCAUUCCCGGUUUGGCCACCCAUCUCCACCUAUUUUACAAACCAUUGUCUCCAAAUUUUCUUUACCUUUUUUCUGAUUCUAUGCAAAAACAAAAUCCCUGUUCUCAUUGUCUCAUUAAUAAAAGCCACAAGUUGCCAUUUUAUACCAAUACCAUUUCUUCUACUUACCCUCUCCAAUAUGUUUAUUCUGAUGUCUGGAUGUCGCCUAUAAUGUCGAUUGAUAGCUACAAGUAUUAUCUGGUUCUUGUAGAUCACCACACCCGAUAUACGUGGCUCUAUCCGUUGAAGCUGAAAUCGCAAGUCAAGGAGACAUUUGUUGCCUUCAAAAAUCUCGUGGAGAAUCGUUUCAAGCACAAAAUCGGUACUCUAUACACCGACAAUGGAGGAGAAUUCCUCGCCUUACGAUCUUUUCUGACUGACCAUGGCAUCUCCCAUCUGACGUCUCCACCACAUACACCCGAGCACAACGGGAUUUCUGAGCGUAAACAUCGACACAUUGUCGAGACGGGACUCACUUUGCUUCAUCAAGCCUCCAUUCCGAAAGUUUACUGGCCGUAUGCCUUUGCGACGGCGGUCUACCUGAUCAAUCGUUUACCAACGCCGGUCCUUAACCAUCUCUCUCCAUACACCAAGCUUUUCCAGGAAGCCCCGAAUUACAUGAAGCUCAGGGUUUUCGGAUGUUUGUGUUUCCCAUGGCUCAGGCCAUACACAAAUCAUAAGCUCGACGAUCGCUCAAAUCCUUGUGUGUUCCUCGGCUACUCUCUCAGUCAAAGUGCUUAUCUCUGCCUUGAUAGAGCUCACUCUCGAAUUUAUACCUCACGCCAUGUGCAGUUUGUGGAAACCCAAUUCCCUUUUGCGACAAAUCCACUGACAUCGCGAGAUCCAGAUACCACCGAUGACCUCCAAACCAACCACGCCUCACCCACAUUUAUCCCGCUUCCUACACCGCCACUCGUACAGACUCAGCAGCACGCGCCCCUGACCUCGGUUCUUCCCACGUCACAGCAGGCUCGACGGUCACAUCCAGUGCCCUCUGUUGUGACACAUCCGGUGAGUCAUGUCUCUUCGGAACAUGACGAUGAACCAACCACAUCGAAUGUGGGUCUAAAUGAGAAUUCUACAGGCUCUAUUCACCCAGGCCCAAAUCAAAUAUCUUCCCCACCAAACACACAUCUCGGCCCACCUAAUAACACCACCAUAUCCUCUCCACAAAUACAAUCACCUGCUCCUGCAAUCCCCAACCCGACAAUAACUUCCCGACCACCACUCUAAACCAAUACUCACCCAAUGCAAACUCGCCGGAAAAACAAUAUUACCAAACCCAAUUCCAAACUUACCCUUACAGCCAUCACCACCACACCAACCAUACCCACUACCGUAAACCAGGCGUUGCGAGAUCCUAAAUGGCGAAAUGCCAUGAGUCAGGAGAUGAAUGCCCAAACUCGAAACCACACAUUUGAUUUGGUGCCGCCCAGACCGAAUCAACAUGUCAUUCCGACGAAAUGGAUUUUUACGAUAAAAUAUCUCCCUGAUGGUUCCAUUGACAGGUAUAAAGCGAGAUUGGUAGCUCGUGGGUUCAACCAGACGUAUGGCAUUGACUAUGCAGAAACUUUUAGCCCAGUGGUGAAAUCGGUUACAAUUCAGACAGUUCUGCAACUUGCGGUUAGUCAUGGCUGGCUUAUUCGACAAUUGGAUGUCAAUAAUGCCUUCCUCCAAGGAAGCUUGAAUGAAGAGGUAUAUGUCACCCAGCCUCAGGGAUUUGUCGACAAGGAUUAUCCGCAUCAUGUUUGUCGCUUGCGAAAGGCUCUUUACGGCCUCAAACAAGCACCGCGGGCUUGGUACCAGGAGCUGCGAACAUAUCUCGUCGGGGUGGGCUUCCAAAACUCCCUCGCUGAUACCUCAGUGUUCAUAUACAUCAGUGGUAACGAUCUUGUCUAUACGUUGGUCUACGUGGACGACAUAAUUAUCACUGGAAGUAAGCCCUCUCUUGUUUCUCAAUUCAUCAGUCUACUCUCUACACGUUUUUCUUUGAAAGAACCGACUGACUUGACGUAUUUCUUGGGCAUUGAGGCAACUCGAACUUCAAAAGGCUUACAUCUAAUGCAGCGUAAAUAUAUUAUUGAUCUUCUCAGCAAAGUCAAGAUGCUUGAUGCUAAGCCUGUCUCAACACCUAUGGCUCCAACGCCGAAGUUAUCUCUUACUCUCGGCACUCCUCUCUCAGAUCCCCGAGAAUAUCGUGCAGUCAUAGGAAGUCUUCAGUACCUGCAAUUGACUCGACCGGAUAUCGCAUAUGCGGUAAAUAGGCUAUCACAGUUUAUGCAUUCUCCGACGGAUAUCUAUUGGCAAGCGGCUAAGAGGAUUCUGAGGUAUCUUGCGGGUACUACCAGCAAAGGUAUUUUUCUUCGUGCUAACUCCCCACUGUCAUUACACGCAUUCUCCGAUGCAGACUGGGCAGGGGAUGUCGACGAUUUUGUAUCCACGAACGGGUACAUCCUGUACUUAGGCACUACACCCAUUUCGUGGUCCUCUAAGAAGCAAAAGGGGGUAGCCCGAUCUUCCACUGAAGCGGAUUACCGAGCGGUUGCGAACACUACUUCUGAGCUACUCUGGGUUUGUUCUCUUCUUUCUGAACUUGGUGUCACUCUGAACUCGCCACCAGUAAUCUACUGUGACAACGUCGGAGCUACCAGACUUUCGGCCAAUCCAUUCUUCCAUUCACGCAUGAAACACUUGGCACUUGACUACCAUUUCAUCCGGGAGAAUAUCCAGUCCGGCACACUACGUGUUUCUCAUGUAUCCACGAAAGAUCAGCUAGCAGAUGCUCUCACGAAACCUCUUCCCAAGCCUCGUUUUCUUGAAUUGCAUGACAAGAUUGGAGUGAUUGAACUCCCUCCAUCUUGAAGGGGCGUGUAGGAGAUAUUUAUGUAAAGGUUAUAUUAGUAAAUAGUUAGCUGUAAACCCUCUCGUGUAUGUACUAUAAAUAUGUAAUCAUUCUCUCUAAUGCAAAUUAAGUUCCCUAAUCUAUAUCUUCAUCCUCCAUCUUCAAAUUCUUCAUCAUCCUCCAAGAAAUUCAAAAAUGACACAAUGAUGCAUAUCUGAAAAAAAAAAUGCUUGUAUAUCUGAGAAAAAAAACUACACAAAAUAAUUAAAUUACAUUAGGGCAUCUCCAAUCCUAUCCCAUUUCCUACUCCAAAUGCAAUUUUUGGGGAAAUUAUUUUCCAACCUUACUCCAUUUUCAUCUCCAAAGUGAGAAAAUGCCAUUUUUUCCUCCAAAUAUGGAGUAACUCCAUUUUCGACUCUAUUUUGCAGUUGAACUUUUGAAUUUAUAAAUUAGUCCUUCAUUUUUUUUUAUAAUUUUUUCAUUUUU
This 5018-nucleotide long non-coding RNA is filed under the name Eutrema salsugineum. RNAcentral describes it as "long non-coding RNA (ESAL_LNC000711)". Lineage: Eukaryota; Viridiplantae; Streptophyta; Magnoliopsida; Brassicales; Brassicaceae. The record is from RNAcentral.